GAUUGGCUGUUGGUGUUGCGAGCUGUGGAAGUAGCGUUGGAGGUGUCAUCUUCCCCAUUAUGGUUUCCAGACUGAUCAAAUCCCACGGCUUUGCGACCUCUAUUAGAUGGUCAAUGGUCGUGGUUGGCAUAACUAUGCUGAUUGGGAUAUUGCUCUGCGACACACCGUUUCCACCACAAUAUAAGCUGAAAAAGCUGCAAAUUGACGAGGAGGCUGUCCAGCAUACAGACAGGAAGAUCUCCCAGGAUAUAGAGCCAGAUGAUUCUGAAUCGGUUAGGGA
RNAcentral lists this small RNA (280 nucleotides) under Histoplasma capsulatum var. duboisii H88. RNAcentral's name for it is "Histoplasma capsulatum H88 hypothetical RNA". The record is from RNAcentral. Lineage: Eukaryota; Fungi; Ascomycota; Eurotiomycetes; Onygenales; Ajellomycetaceae.